Molecule: transfer RNA, 77 nt
Filed under: Clostridiales bacterium
Lineage: Bacteria; Bacillati; Bacillota; Clostridia; Eubacteriales
Also listed under: 2 other names
Description: tRNA-Pro
Rfam family: tRNA
About the family: Transfer RNA (tRNA) molecules are approximately 80 nucleotides in length. Their secondary structure includes four short double-helical elements and three loops (D, anti-codon, and T loops). Further hydrogen bonds mediate the characteristic L-shaped molecular structure. tRNAs have two regions of fundamental functional importance: the anti-codon, which is responsible for specific mRNA codon recognition, and the 3' end, to which the tRNAs corresponding amino acid is attached (by aminoacyl-tRNA synthetases). tRNAs cope with the degeneracy of the genetic code in two manners: having more than one tRNA (with a specific anti-codon) for a particular amino acid; and 'wobble' base-pairing, i.e. permitting non-standard base-pairing at the 3rd anti-codon position.
Source: RNAcentral
CGGGGCGUGGCGCAGUUUGGUAGCGCGCCUGCUUUGGGAGCAGGAGGCCGCGGGUUCGAAUCCCUCCGCCCCGACCA